This 626-nucleotide ribosomal RNA is filed under the name uncultured Geobacteraceae bacterium. Its description in RNAcentral is "bacterial SSU rRNA". The stretch from base 1 to 554 matches the Rfam family "Bacterial small subunit ribosomal RNA", at positions 9 to 546 of the family's 1533-position model. Lineage: Bacteria; Pseudomonadati; Thermodesulfobacteriota; Desulfuromonadia; Geobacterales; Geobacteraceae. The record is from RNAcentral.
GAGUUUGAUCCUGGCUCAGAACGAACGCUGGCGGCGUGCUUAACACAUGCAAGUCGAACGUGAUCCGGAGCUUGCUCCGGUGAAAGUGGCGCACGGGUGAGUAACGCGUGGAUAACCUGCCCUGGUAUCUGGGAUAACAUCUCGAAAGGGGUGCUAAUACCGGAUAAGCCUACGGGAUCUUCGGAUUCUGCAGGAAAAGGAGGCCUCUAUUUAUAAGCUUCCGUAUCAUGAUGGGUCCGCGUACCAUUAGCUAGUUGGUGGGGUAAUGGCCUACCAAGGCGACGAUGGUUAGCUGGUCUGAGAGGAUGAUCAGCCACACUGGAACUGAGACACGGUCCAGACUCCUACGGGAGGCAGCAGUGGGGAAUUUUGCGCAAUGGGGGAAACCCUGACGCAGCAACGCCGCGUGAGUGAUGAAGGCUUUCGGGUCGUAAAGCUCUGUCAGAGGGGAAGAAAUGAAACGUGCUAAUAUCACGUUUUCUUGACGGUACCCUCAAAGGAAGCACCGGCUAACUCCGUGCCAGCAGCCGCGGUAAUACAAGGGCGCCCSCSRCARAWAUCCAUCACACUGGCGGSCGGGGCGAGCAGGCARAAGAGGKCCGGAGKASACACCCUAGUARUUUUUU